RNAcentral lists this ribosomal RNA (460 nucleotides) under uncultured bacterium. RNAcentral describes it as "partial 16S ribosomal RNA". It matches the Rfam family "Bacterial small subunit ribosomal RNA", at positions 338 to 795 of the family's 1533-position model. The record is from RNAcentral.
CCUACGGGAGGCAGCAGUGAGGAAUAUUGGUCAAUGGACGCAAGUCUGAACCAGCCAUGCCGCGUGCGGGAUGAAGGCCCUAUGAGUUGUAAACUUCUUUUGUCCGAGGGUAAUAUCAGAUACGUGUAUCUGCUUGAAAGUAUCUUACGAAUAAGGAUCGGCUAACUCCGUGCCAGCAGCCGCGGUAAUACGGAGGAUCCGAGCGUUAUCCGGAUUUAUUGGGUUUAAAGGGUGCGUAGGAGGUUUUAUAAGUUAGAGGUGAAAAUUCGGGGCUCAACUCCGGACCUGCCUUUAAUACUGUCUGACUAGAGAAUAGAUGAGGUAGGCGGAAUGUAUGGUGUAGCGGUGAAAUGCGUAGAGAUCACACAGAACACCGAUUGCGAAGGCAGCCUACCAAACUACAACUGACGUUGAGGCACGAAAGCGUGGGGAGCAAACAGGAUUAGAUACCCGAGUAGUC